GGCACAAAAGCGGCCGACACCGCCGGCCUCUACGUCUUUAACCUCUCCGUCGGCACGUCGAUCCUGCAGAACAUUACCGGCAUCCUGGACAUCACCACUGAGCUCGUGUGGGCGCAGUGCGCGUGUAGCGCUGACGCCUGCUUGCCACCUCCGGGGACCACAUUCGACCCAAGUACGUCGGACACCUUCGCCGGGGUUCCCUGCAUCAGCCAGAGGUGCCAGAGCGUGAUCAAGCAGCAAUGUGGCCCUGACCCCGCGGCGAACUGCACGUACCUUAUGCAAUACGACGACUACACCAACACGACCGGCUACCUCGGCAACGACACGUUCACGUUUGGUCAGACUCAGUUCCCCGACGUGGUGUUCGGCUGCAGCAAGGCGAGCUACGGUGAUUUCUUUGGCGCCUCCGGCGUCCUGGGCUUCAGCAGGGGGAGCCUAUCCCUGGUGUCCCAGCUCCAACUCUCCUGGUUCUCCUACCUCUUGGUUUCGGACGGACCCAGCCCCUUGCAGUUCGGCUAUGACGCCGUUCCGCAGACGGAGAACAGCCACUCAACUCCCCUUCUCAACAACGACGCAAACCCUGGCCUUUACUAUGUCAAGCUCACCGGCAUAAU
This 614-nucleotide long non-coding RNA is filed under the name Setaria italica (foxtail millet). Its description in RNAcentral is "long non-coding RNA (SITA_LNC002747)". Lineage: Eukaryota; Viridiplantae; Streptophyta; Magnoliopsida; Poales; Poaceae. The record is from RNAcentral.